AAUCAACGCUGGCGGCGUGCCUCAGACAUGCAAGUCGAACGCGAAAGUUCCCUUCGGGGAGCAAGUAGAGUGGCGCACGGGUGAGUAACACGUAGGUAAUUUGCCUUCGGGUGGGGAUAACAGUCGGAACGACUGCUAAUACCGCAUAAUGCAGCGGCUCGACAUCGAGACAGUUGUUAAAGCGGGGGAGUCCUUCGGGACCUCGCGCCUGAAGAGAAGCCUGCGGCAGAUUAGCUAGUUGGUGAGGUAAUGGCCCACCAAGGCUACGAUCUGUAACCGGCCUGAGAGGGCGGUCGGUCACACUGACACUGACAUAC
This 317-nucleotide ribosomal RNA is filed under the name uncultured bacterium. RNAcentral describes it as "bacterial SSU rRNA". It matches the Rfam family "Bacterial small subunit ribosomal RNA", at positions 32 to 327 of the family's 1533-position model. The record is from RNAcentral.